Molecule: transfer RNA, 85 nt
Filed under: bacterium
Lineage: Bacteria
Description: tRNA-Ser
Rfam family: tRNA
About the family: Transfer RNA (tRNA) molecules are approximately 80 nucleotides in length.
Source: RNAcentral
GGAAGGGUCGCAUAGAGGCCUAUUGCGCUCGCUUGGAAAGCGGGUAUACCGCAAGGUAUCGUGGGUUCGAAUCCCACCCCUUCCG